Nothoprocta perdicaria is the source of this 133-nucleotide small nucleolar RNA. The record is from Ensembl. NCBI's taxonomy places the organism in Eukaryota, Metazoa, Chordata, Aves, Tinamiformes, Tinamidae.
CACCCUCCUUUCACUUUGCCAAUAAGACCCUUUUUGUCUUCAUUGGUCAUUCAAGGUGGGUAAAGUAUGUGUCCUUUUUAUAACCCAAGCAAAUGGUGGUCAUUUGUCUUGGAUCCUGUCAGAGGAAACAAUU